This 254-nucleotide ribosomal RNA is filed under the name uncultured bacterium. RNAcentral's name for it is "partial 16S ribosomal RNA". It matches the Rfam family "Bacterial small subunit ribosomal RNA", at positions 524 to 776 of the family's 1533-position model. The record is from RNAcentral.
UACGUAGGGUGCAAGCGUUGUCCGGAAUUAUUGGGCGUAAAGAGCUCGUAGGCGGUUCGUCGCGUCGGCUGUGAAAACCCGGAGCUCAACUCCGGGCCUGCAGUCGAUACGGGCGGACUUGAGUGUUGCAGGGGGAGACUGGAAUUCCUGGUGUAGCGGUGAAAUGCGCAGAUAUCAGGAGGAACACCGGUGGCGAAGGCGGGUCUCUGGGCAACUACUGACGCUGAGGAGCGAAAGCGUGGGGAGCGAACAGG